AAGUCGUAACAAGGUUUCCGUAGGUGAACCUGCGGAAGGAUCAUUAACAAAUUUCCAUUGUUUAUGGGAUUUAUUCCAUAUCAACCUUGUGUGCACCUAUUAAUUGUCUCUGGUGGGUCCUUUGUUCUGAGAUUUUCUGGCUGUGUCUUUUUUCUCUUGGGUUUUUUAUUAGACUUGAGCUAGGAAAAAUUGCAAAGUCCAGGAAGCCUUCAGUUCCAAGUCCACCAAAGGUUCAACCCCUGAGUAUUUUUGUUUUCUACUGAAGUAAUAAAUUAUUAUAAUUUAAAAACAACUUUUGACAACGGAUCUCUUGGCUCUC
RNAcentral lists this unclassified non-coding RNA (319 nucleotides) under fungal sp. RNAcentral describes it as "partial internal transcribed spacer region". The stretch from base 1 to 46 matches the Rfam family "Eukaryotic small subunit ribosomal RNA", at positions 1786 to 1831 of the family's 1831-position model. Lineage: Eukaryota; Fungi. The record is from RNAcentral.